RNAcentral lists this long non-coding RNA (364 nucleotides) under Zostera marina. RNAcentral's name for it is "long non-coding RNA (ZMAR_LNC004362)". The record is from RNAcentral. Lineage: Eukaryota; Viridiplantae; Streptophyta; Magnoliopsida; Alismatales; Zosteraceae.
CAGGGGUAUCAUCAAGAAGAAACCUGUACGUGACAUCGUAUUGGGUGAUCGAAGAGUUUCGAUCUCGCGAUGACAUACGCAUUGAACAAAUCAAAUCGCUUGACAUGAUUCUACGUUACCCUAAAGAGACGAUGACAACUGUUUCGAAGAAGAAAAGACCGGCCAGGGAUAAAUUUGGGUUUUGUUAAGUUUGGUCUUGGUAAUGGAAUCAGCCAUAGAAGCAACCCUACAGGCUACAAGUCUGCAACCUCGUUGUCAAAAGAUUGGAUUUUAAUAAAUGAAGCAAGAACUACCCGUUAAAUGACAUAUUUGUAAAAUGAUUUGAAGUAUAAGGGUAAAAUAAUAAUAAUAAUAAAAUAAUAGG